UACGUAGGGUGCAAGCGUUGUCCGGAAUUAUUGGGCGUAAAGAGCUCGUAGGCGGUCUGUCACGUCGGCUGUGAAAACCCGAGGCUCAACCUCGGGCCUGCAGUCGAUACGGGCAAACUAGAGUACUGCAGGGGAGACUGGAAUUCCUGGUGUAGCGGUGAAAUGCGCAGAUAUCAGGAGGAACACCGGUGGCGAAGGCGGGUCUCUGGGCAGUAACCGACGCUGAGGAGCGAAAGCGUGGGGAGCGAACAGG
RNAcentral lists this ribosomal RNA (253 nucleotides) under uncultured bacterium. RNAcentral describes it as "partial 16S ribosomal RNA". It matches the Rfam family "Bacterial small subunit ribosomal RNA", at positions 524 to 776 of the family's 1533-position model. The record is from RNAcentral.